RNAcentral lists this unclassified non-coding RNA (379 nucleotides) under uncultured Gammaproteobacteria bacterium. RNAcentral's name for it is "contains 16S-23S intergenic spacer region". Lineage: Bacteria; Pseudomonadati; Pseudomonadota; Gammaproteobacteria. The record is from RNAcentral.
UCCGGUUCUUCACCAGCAGUCUUCUUAGAGUCCCCACCAUUACGUGCUGGCAACUAAGAAUAGGGGUUGCGCUCGUUACGGGACUUAACCCAACAUCUCACAACACGAGCUGACGACAGCCAUGCAGCACCUGUCUCUAGGUUCCUUUCGGCACUCCAACAUCUCUGUUAGAUUCCUAGGAUGUCAAGGGUAGGUAAGGUUCUUCGCGUUGCAUCGAAUUAAACCACAUGCUCCACCGCUUGUGCGGGCCCCCGUCAAUUCCUUUGAGUUUUAACCUUGCGGCCGUACUCCCCAGGCGGAGAACUUAUCGCGUUAGCUUCGAUACUAAUCCGCUCGCGCGAACCAACAUCUAGUUCUCAUCGUUUACAGCGUGGACUAC